AACCGCGCGGAAGUGAGAAGUCGCGGCCAAAGGCGCCCGCCGAAACCUCCUCUCUGGGCCGGACCCCAGCCGGAGCGGCCGAAAGGAGCCCCCCGCCCGGAUCACAGAACUUUACAAGGAAAGGGGAAAUGUUGGAAAUGGAGAUGCACAACCUUGUCUUGAAGCAGAAGACUCAGCUAGAGCACAUCUGGACAUGCCUGGCAUUCCUCAAUAUAAUUCAAAUGAUAUUUUAAAAAGUCCUGCAGAAAAGAAGAUGCUGGCUGGCUGGCUGAUAAUGUUAAGUUGGAACAUCUUGGUGUAUCCAGAUCGUCCUGGGAGUGUCUCUAGGGGCAGGCUGCAGAGCUCCAACCUUCUUCCUGGACCAUGCAACAGAAGCAGAUUUAAGGAUGGCCCCAGACUGAGAGAGAUGGAGACAGAGAUAGAGAUAGAGAAGCUACAUAAUAUGACCAACAUAGAACCUAACUGUGGUAUUCUCCAGCAUUGCUCAGCCUUUCCUUCUCUGGACGUGACAACAUUACUAAGAAAGGAAGAGAAAAAGAUCUGCUUUCAGGGAGGUUCCAUCACUGGGGAGAGCCCCUAAUGGAAGUCCUUGCUUUGGUUACAUGGCAUAUGUUUAAUAAAUAAAAAGAUGCUCAUCUGGACUCCUGUACCAGUUAUCAUGUACUAAAUAAGGUUACCUAUUUCACUCUCCAUGUAGAAGCAUCUUUCAUAAACAUGUGACACAGAAGAUUUUACAAGUAUCAUUAUUGGCUGUGUUGAUUUUUUUUUGUUCUAUUUUAUCAGAUCUGUAGUCUUACAUUCAAUGAGGAAGCAUUUUCUCAGGUUCUCAAGAAAGUAACAAAAUGCCAGCAUUGUCAAGGUCACCAUUGUCACUGAAUUAUCUUACUGUUUGAUUAUUCCAUCUUCCUCUGCAUCAUAUUAGCCUGAUGACUAAAUUCUAAUUAUUUAAAGCACUAUGUAAAUCAAAACAGUAAAUGUAAUUUCUGGUCUUGCUAGAUAUCAUGUACAUUAGGUCGAAUAACUCUAGAAAUUUCAUCAUAAUCGUGUCAUGCCUAAUGAUGACCUACUCAGCCCCUGAAAACAUCAUUCAAUUACUCAUUUCAGCAUUGAUUUUUCUUAUGCUUCUCCUCAUGGCAUUUAAACAGCUCUCACAUCUCCCCUUUUACUGAGGUGUAAUGUUAUAUAAUGACAGAGAUGCCUUGCUUCCCAGAUUCAUAAUGCUACAUUC
This 1228-nucleotide long non-coding RNA is filed under the name Callithrix jacchus (white-tufted-ear marmoset). Its description in RNAcentral is "lncRNA (ENSCJAG00000079749.1)". The record is from RNAcentral. Lineage: Eukaryota; Metazoa; Chordata; Mammalia; Primates; Cebidae.